Molecule: ribosomal RNA, 482 nt
Filed under: uncultured bacterium
Lineage: Bacteria
Description: partial 16S ribosomal RNA
Rfam family: Bacterial small subunit ribosomal RNA
Source: RNAcentral
AUUGAACGCUGGCGGCAUGCCUUACACAUGCAAGUCGAACGGUAACGGGCCUUCGGGUGCCGACGAGUGGCGAACGGGUGAGUAAUACAUCGGGACGUGCCCGAUCGUGGGGGAUAACGAGGCGAAAGCUUUGCUAAUACCGCAUACGAUCUACGGAUGAAAGCAGGGGACCGCAAGGCCUUGCGCGGACGGAGCGGCCGAUGGCAGAUUAGGUAGUUGGUGGGAUAAAAGCUUACCAAGCCGACGAUCUGUAGCUGGUCUGAGAGGAUGAUCAGCCACACUGGGACUGAGACACGGCCCAGACUCCUACGGGAGGCAGCAGUGGGGAAUUUUGGACAAUGGGCGCAAGCCUGAUCCAGCCAUGCCGCGUGCAGGAUGAAGGCCUUCGGGUUGUAAACUGCUUUUGUACGGAACGAAAAGCCUUCUUUUAAUACAGGAGGGUCAUGACGGUACCGUAAGAAUAAGCACCGGCUAACUACGUG